CCACUUUCCCUCAUCAGUCCUGCAGUAUAUAACCGGCCCAUUUCCUCUCAUUCCCAAUGGUUUUAAUUUAUGUUUUCCCUUUCCAAUGAGGCUUAUGUCUUCAAUCUCCAACCUUCUGCACCCGGCCCUGAUCUGUUCUUGCUUUUUGUUGCCUGUUCCUGUCCUGCUCACCUGUCGUGCCUUUGUUGGAUUUGUUUGCCUGUUCACACUGCCAUCCUGUUGCCAACCAUGAAAGCCCGUUCCUGACCAUCAAGUUGAUAAACUGCAAACUGCAUGCUCAUCUAAUCAUCACUU
Sander lucioperca (pikeperch) is the source of this 294-nucleotide long non-coding RNA. RefSeq lists it as uncharacterized. NCBI's taxonomy places the organism in Eukaryota, Metazoa, Chordata, Actinopteri, Perciformes, Percidae. The record is from RefSeq and is a predicted model, not a curated record. The transcript has 2 exons.